RNAcentral lists this unclassified non-coding RNA (329 nucleotides) under soil metagenome. Its description in RNAcentral is "partial contains 5.8S ribosomal RNA, internal transcribed spacer 2, and large subunit ribosomal RNA". The stretch from base 1 to 120 matches the Rfam family "5.8S ribosomal RNA", at positions 35 to 154 of the family's 154-position model. The record is from RNAcentral.
GAUGAAGAACGUAGCGAAAUGCGAUAAUUAAUGUGAAUUGCAGAAUUUAGUGAAUCAUCGAAUCUUUGAACGCACAUUGCGCCCCUUGGUAUUCCGGGGGGCAUGCCUGUUCGAGCGUCAUUUCAACCCUCAAGCUUUGCUUGGUCUUGGGCCGCGCCGGCGACGGCGGGCCUCAAAAACAGUGGCGGCGCCAUCUGGUUCCUCAGCGUAGUAAUUCUUCUCGCUGUUGGGCCCGGGUGGCCGCUGGCCAGCAACCCCAAAUUUUCUAUGGUUGACCUCGGAUCAGGUAGGGAUACCCGCUGAACUUAAGCAUAUCAAUAAGCGGAGGA